CUUUUAAAACCUCCCAGGACUAAGCUCAGUACAAUGGGAGAUCGGGCUUUCUGCUCAGCUGCUCCAAGUCUGUGGAAUGCUCUCCCUGACCACCUGAGGAAACCACAGACUGGAUGCUUUUAAACGUGGCCUAAAAACCCACCCUUUUAGGAGAGCUUUUUAGUGAACUCGUUUUGUUUUUGUUUUCAAACUCUCCGUGUGUUUUUAAUGUUAGCACUUACCUGUUUUAUCAUGUAGCACUUGGGGAUUUUCUUAAAUAUAAAGUGCAUUACAAAUUAAAUGUAUUAUUAUUAUUAGAAGGUGUGUGUUCCACUGUCAGGUCCACAUAAAUACACAUGGACGCUACAUUUUACUGUAGCUAUAGCAAAUAGCAAGGGAGUGGGGGACAUCUGUCACGGUUUGGGUUUGUUUCCGGUUUUAUUUUGUAGUUUUCUAAGAUUGCCCAAGGCUGACUCUAUUUCAGGAUGCUGAUUGGCUAAAUUAUAUGCCACUCAUUUAUAUCUUUAAUCAGUAAUUGGCUAAACUGCUUCUUCGACCUGCCUCUUUUAGGGCCUGAUAAAUUCUGUCCUCUGAGCCAUGCAGACAGGCAGAGAGGACGUGCAGGAAAAGCAUAUAUUUUGGCGCAGAUAUCUUAUUUUACAAAUAUUACUGGGUAUAUUCCAUAUUUCAAAAACAUAAAUAUUGACAAAAUGAUAUAUUUUUUCUUUUUUUUUGUGGCCAGCUGCCAAUGGCCCUAACACAUUUCUAAUGUAUGUCUUAAAGCUACUUUGUUCUGUGUUCUGACAGAAACAAAUUCACUGUCCAGCUCAUAACGUGUCUUUAAUCCUUCUAUCUGUCAGGUACUGUGUAGGAGAAUCUUUUCCCGUAAAGAGAAGUAGUUCAGCCUUGUCGGGGUUGAUUUUCAGAUGGUGAGUGGACAUCCACUGAGAGAUGUCAGUCAGACAGGCAGAGAUCCGAGUGAGGGAAGGGAAGAGUUAGUUGGGUGUCAUCAGCAUAGCUGUGGUAGGAGAAGUCAUGCGAGCGAAUGACAACGCCGAGAGUUGGAAUAUAACAUAUACAGUAUGUUGAAUUUCUGCCGUCCUGAUGUUGACCGGGAGCUCAGGUUGCUACAAUAAUAGUAACACAAGGGAACAUUAUUCAUGAAACACUGUUCUUAGCAAGUUAACCUGGUACUUUUUAAAAAACAAUGCACAAUGAAUACAUUUAAAUAAAUGAGAACAACAUUGUGAUCUCAAUCGGGACACUCUCCCGAAAGAAUCAAAGCUGCCCUGUCAAGCUGACCAAUAUUGAGAUUUCUCGAAGUUCUCUCCUCAAUAGUAUUGACAUGUCUUAGUAAAACAAUACAUUUUGGAAAAACAGCCGUAGCUUAUCCAGAUGCUGGAGGUCCAGACUGUUCAACUGAUUUAAAUUACUGUAGAUAUUAUAGACCUUUUGUGUGGAAGAAAAUUCUCUAUCUACCUUUGUAUGAAUGGUCAGCCUGAUCUCCAAAACCUGUUCGGAAAAAUACAAAAAUAUAAUGUACGAAAAUCUUGAAGAUACAAAUUCGUAGUGAUACAUACUAAAUAAAUAUGGACUGGCAACUGAUGACGUCACCCUAUUCAAAGUGAAUGGGGACCUGCACCCCGUAAACACACUUCGUGAAGUCUAACGAUGUAAAAUAAACGUGUUAUGAUUGCAUUUUUUAACAAGAAAUCAAUGUUAAAUUGUAAGAAUACAAUACUUACCCUAACCCCCUCAAAAAAUCCAACAUGGCGGAGGGACGUACACUCGAGAAUCCAACAUGGCGGAGAGACGUUCACUCAAGGGGCGUGGUUAACCAGUUAGUAUGUAUUGUUACAAAUUUCUAUGUCAAAUAUUUCGCAUACAUUUUUACGAACAGGUUUUGGAAAUCACGUUGGAAUGGUUGCAGUAGAACAGCCUCUAUUGACAUUCAGAAAGAAAAAAUAAAUCCCCAUAAAUAAUCACAUUAAGAGAAGUGGCCUCUUUUCUGUUGCGUUUUUCAACAUUAAGUUCCAUUCAUCUAUUUAGUUUGUUCUUGUUUUAAUCUCCAGGAAGUAGAGGUGGGACAGAAAUAGGGGCUCUAACACACACACACGUACAGACAGACAGACUCACACACACAGCAAGUUCCUCCAUAAUUGGGAAGGAAGGUAAUGGAGUUAUACCCGGGUCUGUCGAUGAAAAAGAUAAGAUGCUGGCACACACAAUGUGUGUGUGUGGGUGUGUGUGUGAGAUAGAUGUGAAGAUAAAGUUUGGUGGCACAGAAAGUAGUUCACACCAUAUAUUAUAGUUUUGUCCAGUAUUAACAAUCCCACUCCCUUCCUGCCAUUCAAACCCUUUUGACUUGUGACCUUAGUGUGUGCAAGUGUGUGAAUGUCUGUCCCUAAGAGAGACAAAGAGAGAAAGAAAGUGAGUAAAAGAGAGAGAGAGAGAUACACAGGGAGAGUCAGAGAGGAGAGAAAGAAAUACAAAGUCAUUUUAAUUCUGAUACAUCUGUUUAUCUUUGUAGUGUUAUUGCUUAAACCAAAAGUUAACUUCUUCUUAUGGGGCAAUUCUACGCAUUCCAGCCACCACCAGGUAAUGCCCUGUUUGUGGGUCGUGAAUAUUAAUCAUAAAUGUGUUAGGAGUAUAUGUUUAGAUGUCAACUUGCCAGAGCAUUCUGUUAGCUCAAAGGUUGUGUUAUUGUUCUGGUAGUUGGGUAAAAAAACCUCCGUGCCUGUAUGCCUUUCUUCAAACCAUCGUCAAACCAUUAAACCAUCGUCUUCUUGUAGAGGGGACAAAUAGCAGAAAAAGGGUAUUCUCUGUUAAGGUGUGACACUUGCUGUCAUAUUAUUACAUAAAAAUGCUGACUAAUUUUUUGUAGGAAUUGGUUUUUUACAAGUGGGUUUACAUGACUGUGAUACAGUCAGCGCACUGUGUACCUGAACUACACUGCUUUAUUUUAACUGUAAACAACAUAAAAAUUAAAAACCUCUACACCGUGAAAUUAAUAUAUACAGUAUGUAAACACAUAAACAGAGGAGUGACAGAAGUUGAGGAGACAACUUUUAUACACUACAAGUGAUUGCACUAUAAAGAACCCGACGGGUAACCAAAGUGUUUUACACUCCAAUAGCCUUUUAUCUUCGCAACAAAGCAAAAAUGAUAUAUUUUUUAAUUUAUGGUCUAAUGCUGAGAUCCAGACUCACACUUUUGAAUUACCCAGACUGUUAUUGUUGCAACAUCUUGUUGUUAAGCCUGCUGAAUGUUUUACACUGUAAGCCUGAUCUCAUUUUAAGAAGUCACAAGAUUCAUUGUUUUUCUUAUAAAAUAUAAAACUCUGAGAAGGUCUGAAUUUGGCUCAGCUUUCAAGUGGCCUCAGUCUGUCAUAACAACUAGUGUUAACAGUUGAAAUAUUCUUGUAGCUCCCACUGUUUAUUGUGUCAUGAUGGGCUACAUUUAUUCUUCAUUGGAAAGAAUACAAGUAGUUUAUUUUGAGUGGUAAAAUAUUUAAAAAUGUCCCAUUGAGCCUGCGUUUCCACAGACGCACAACCGACCCGUCAGGUUUUCAUUUAACUCACUUGAGUGUCCUCUGUGGGUCAACAAUAUUCUAACUGUCUACGAGUGGAUAACUGCGAACUAUAGCAACAGAGAUUAGAAACAGGUGUGUGUGCGUGUGUGUGUGUGUGUGUGUGUAUGUGCGUGUUUGUCAAAGUGUGUCGGUGUUAUUGCUGUGUUAUUCUUUUCGACAUCCAUGAAAUUGUGUUAAAGCUGUUACAAGCAGUCCCACAGACACAUACUGCAUGAAUGUAACUACCCAAAUUUGUGUGAUUAAUUUGCUUUUCUGUCGUAUAUACUGUAUUGUAUUGACCCGCACCCACUCAGCUUAGGAAAAUAAAAAUAAGUUUACAAUUUAACAAAGCACUCUUGGCACUUUAAAGUCAUUGAUGCCUGUGUAUUAUCUGUUAUAUUUUUAUUUAUUGUCUUUUAUAUGUAUUUAAUGUCCUGAUUUAAACCAGUAAUUUAGUUUUACCUUGUUACCGCUGAACUGACUGAUGAUUCGCCAAUUACACUUUUUUUUUGUUCGUCUUUUUACAAUGACAAUAAGUAUACUUAUCCUUGUGUCUGUCUCCUUGCAUAUCUCCCUGUAAAUGAACUUGUUACAUCUACUCAUCAGUUUUAUUUUGGUUCAGUCAAUAUAUGGUCUUGAAAACUUUUCCACUAUAUCUGACCGAAAUAUUUGGGGGUUUCAUCUACUUUUGAAUAUGUAUCUGGAAAGGAGCAUAUCGACUAUCAUGGGGCAACCCUCCCCACCCCCGAUUCAAUCACCUUUCACUACAACCACUUCAGGUCAAGUGUUCAUGUAGUAUUACUACUAUUAUACUACAUCAUCAUAGAGAAACUAAGAAUAAUGUAACCUGCAACUAGAGCCGGAAAUAGAAACAGCUUGGAAAGCUCUUUCGUGUAGUUUGCGUGGACACAAAAUCUCAGGAGCCAAACCAAACCAUUAAAUAUUUCAGUUGCGACAGAGAGGGUUGUACGAGUGUGCGUGGUUCCAUAUGAGUUUGAGUAAACCUUUUUAAAGUAACCCCUUCACCACCUGACCUUCCGCUAACUCCGAGCAUGCCUGUCAGAUAGGAUGCCUAUCCGCAUGAAUAGUUUUUUUAUGUAACCUCGCUGGCUGCAGUGAUGGACUUUGUGUGUUUGUGCGUGUGUGUCCGUGAGGGAGACAGAAACAGAGAGGCAGAGUUACUACUUCUCUCCUCUCUCCUGGUUAUGAAAACACAGCGACCGCCAGCACUGGCAGACACUUAAUCUAGCUAAUAUUAAAUCCAUGAAAAACACACAUUAUUCUUUACAUGGUUGUCCAUUUUGAAAUGUAAACAUGGGAAAGAAACAGUCAAUCACUUGGGACAAAAUAUUUAAUGGAUAUGAAGCUACAUUAUUGGGAUCACUUCUUACACUAUUAGGAGAAUGUUUUCAGUGGAAUCUGCUGUAUCCAGGGGGAUAUUCAGGUUCGGGAGGUUGUCGUAUCAAUUAUUUGACAUCUUGAUUCACUUUAUUAAAGAGCUGUGUGCUUUGUGAAGCAUUAUAGCUUUCAGCAAACUAUGAAAACAUCUAAAAGCUCUCAGACACAGACAAUAAAGAAGUGUAUGACAAACUAAAUCAUUUUGUUUAAUAAAUUAUGAAUCACUAAAUUACAGGUACAGUACCAGUUAAAAGUUUGAACACAUUUUCUCAUUCAAUUUAAUGAGAAAGUGCUUCCAAACUUUUGACCGGUACUGUACAAACACAUACCUGAUAGAAAUGUGACAGAAAACCUACUGUUUUUUUCUUUCUCCCUAGCGUUUCUGGUUAUACAUUUCCCAUAAACUAAGGAAAAAGACCGCAGAGAUGCAGCCUGUGCCAUGUUGUAAUAACUUGGAACUAUGCAUCAAAAACAAUAUCUGUUCAACUGUGGGGGUCAGUCUGACGUUCGCCCUGUUAUUGCUGGGAAGUCAGAUGUUUAUCAGGCUAUCAGUCAGUCAU
Long non-coding RNA from Gasterosteus aculeatus aculeatus (three-spined stickleback), 5508 nucleotides. The record is from Ensembl. Lineage: Eukaryota; Metazoa; Chordata; Actinopteri; Perciformes; Gasterosteidae.